Molecule: transfer RNA, 32 nt
Filed under: Priapichthys darienensis
Lineage: Eukaryota; Metazoa; Chordata; Actinopteri; Cyprinodontiformes; Poeciliidae
Description: partial tRNA-Asn
Source: RNAcentral
AGAUUUUGUAGGAUCGAGGCCUUCCUGUCUAG